Molecule: transfer RNA, 74 nt
Filed under: Bacteroidia bacterium
Lineage: Bacteria; Pseudomonadati; Bacteroidota; Bacteroidia
Description: tRNA-Thr
Rfam family: tRNA
About the family: Transfer RNA (tRNA) molecules are approximately 80 nucleotides in length.
Source: RNAcentral
GCCACUGUAGCUCAGUCGGUAGAGCAACGCAUUCGUAACGCGUAGGUCACCAGUUCAAGUCUGGUUAGUGGCUC